AAUUACUUGAGCCAAGGGAAUACAAACUGUUACCACGUAUUGCAAAUAAGUUUGUUCGUUUGGCUUAAGUUAUUU
Molecule: microRNA precursor, 75 nt
Organism: Drosophila busckii
Lineage: Eukaryota; Metazoa; Arthropoda; Insecta; Diptera; Drosophilidae
Rfam family: mir-375 microRNA precursor family
Source: Rfam